UCCAUGUAGUUGGGAAGUAACUUCAGAAAGAGAAAAUACAGUUCCGUCAGGGUCACAAGAUGGCUGCCAUGGUCAGAUGUCACAAACCCAUAUGGCAGUGUUCUCAGCAGGAAGGACGGGGGGAAGGCUCCUUUUUAUCAGGUGAUGCCAAUGCCUCUCCUGCUCAGAUCACAUUUUGAAUAGCAAGGGACUGGAACACAUCAUCACAGGUAUACAUACAUAUUAGAGAUGCACAGUAUGUACAUACACACAUGGAUUUGGGUAUACUUAUGAGUGCAAAAAGUCAUUUGUUCAUUUGUUUAGACAAAUUUUGAGUGUAUUGUUUUAGGGUAGGUACUGUACACAUAUAGACAUACACUUUUUAGGACUGAUCUUUGCAAAUGGAUUUUAAAAGCACAAAAGAUUUCUUUGCUUCCCCAAGGCAUUCCAUCAUUCUCUAGUACUGAUCUCUAUAAAUGGCCUUGCUCUCCUACUCUUAGUUACUAGCUGACUUUAGGAUGG
Molecule: non-coding RNA, 501 nt
Organism: Macaca mulatta (Rhesus monkey)
Lineage: Eukaryota; Metazoa; Chordata; Mammalia; Primates; Cercopithecidae
Source: RefSeq, a predicted model, not a curated record